Molecule: ribosomal RNA, 253 nt
Filed under: uncultured bacterium
Lineage: Bacteria
Description: partial 16S ribosomal RNA
Rfam family: Bacterial small subunit ribosomal RNA
Source: RNAcentral
GACGUAGGGCGCGAGCGUUGUCCGGAUUUAUUGGGCGUAAAGAGCUCGUAGGCGGCUUGUCGCGUCGAAUGUGAAAACCCACGGCUCAACUGUGGGCUUGCAUUCGAUACGGGCAGACUAGAGUGCGGUAGGGGAGAUUGGAAUUCCUGGUGUAGCGGUGGAAUGCGCAGAUAUCAGGAGGAACACCGAUGGCGAAGGCAGAUCUCUGGGCCGUAACUGACGCUGAGGAGCGAAAGCGUGGGGAGCGAACAGG